GAUGAAGAACGUAGUAAAAUGCGAUACGUAAUGUGAAUUGCAGAAUUCAGUGAAUCAUCGAGUCUUUGAACGCACAUUGCGCCCCCUGGUAUUCCGGGGGGCAUGCCUGUCCGAGCGUCAUUGCUGCCCUCAAGCACGGCUUGUGUGUUGGGCCUCCGUCCUCCUCCCGGGGGACGGGCCCGAAAGGCAGCGGCGGCACCGCGUCCGGUCCUCGAGCGUAUGGGGCUUCGUCACCCGCUCUUGUAGGCCCGGCCGGCGCUUGCCGACACAUCAAUCUUUUUUCCAGGUUGACCUCGGAUCAGGUAGGGAUACCCGCUGAACUUAAGCAUAUCAAUAAGCGGAGG
RNAcentral lists this unclassified non-coding RNA (344 nucleotides) under soil metagenome. Its description in RNAcentral is "partial contains 5.8S ribosomal RNA, internal transcribed spacer 2, and large subunit ribosomal RNA". The stretch from base 1 to 120 matches the Rfam family "5.8S ribosomal RNA", at positions 35 to 154 of the family's 154-position model. The record is from RNAcentral.